GGGUGAGUAACACGUGGGUAACCUGCCCUAAAGUCUGGGAUACCACUUGGAAACAGGUGCUAAUACCGGAUAACAACAAUAGCUGCAUGGCUAUUGCUUAAAAGGCGGCGAAAGCUGUCGCUAAAGGAUGGACCCGCGGUGCAUUAGCUAGUUGGUAAGGUAAUGGCUUACCAAGGCGACGAUGCAUAGCCGAGUUGAGAGACUGAUCGGCCACAUUGGGACUGAGACACGGCCCAAACUCCUACGGGAGGCAGCAGUAGGGAAUCUUCCACAAUGGGCGAAAGCCUGAUGGAGCAACGCCGCGUGAGUGAAGAAGGUUUUCGGAUCGUAAAGCUCUGUUGUUGGUGAAGAAGGAUAGAGGUAGUAACUGGCCCCUAUUUGACGGUAAUCAACCAGAAAGUCACGGCUAACUACGUGCCAGCAGCCGCGGUAAUACGUAGGUGGCAAGCGUUGUCCGGAUUUAUUGGGCGUAAAGCGAGCGCAGGCGGAAAGAUAAGUCUGAUGUGAAAGCCCCCGGCUUAACCGAGGAAUUGCAUCGGAAACUGUGUUUCUUGAGUGCAGAAGAGGAGAGUGGAACUCUAUGUGUAGCGGUGGAAUGCGUAGAUAUAUGGAAGAACACCAGUGGCGAAGGCGGCUCUCUGGUCUGUAACUGACGCUGAGGCUCGAAAGCAUGGGUAGCGAACAGGAUUAGAUACCCUGGUAGUCCAUGCCGUAAACGAUGAGUGCUAAGUGUUGGGA
RNAcentral lists this ribosomal RNA (738 nucleotides) under uncultured bacterium. RNAcentral's name for it is "bacterial SSU rRNA". It matches the Rfam family "Bacterial small subunit ribosomal RNA", at positions 104 to 828 of the family's 1533-position model. The record is from RNAcentral.